GAGUACCAGUUCCUCGCCGCUCCCUUCAAGGUAGACGGGAAAGCCCGGCAUAAGAUGGCAUCAGGAGCACCAUGAAGCAGCAUCAUCGUCCGAAAGGCCUCCAGAUGGUCAACCGGGUCCGAAGUCCCGUCGUAGCUUUCGAACUGGGAAAGCUUGAAGUUUGGCGGGAUCGGUUCCUGUAUGAUCAUUUGGGAGAAGGGAGGGUCAGUACAAAUAU
Molecule: long non-coding RNA, 217 nt
Filed under: Elaeis guineensis (African oil palm)
Lineage: Eukaryota; Viridiplantae; Streptophyta; Magnoliopsida; Arecales; Arecaceae
Description: long non-coding RNA (EGUI_LNC066820)
Source: RNAcentral